AACUCUCAACAACGGAUAUCUUGGCUCUCGCAACGAUGAAGGACGCAGCAAACUGCGAUACGUAGUGUGAAUUGCAGGAUUUCGCGAACCAUCGAGUAUCCCAACGCAUAUGGCGCUCGAGGCUUCGGCCGAGAGCAUGUCUGCCUGAGCGUC
This 153-nucleotide ribosomal RNA is filed under the name Picocystis salinarum. RNAcentral describes it as "5.8S ribosomal RNA". It matches the Rfam family "5.8S ribosomal RNA". From Rfam's summary of the family: 5.8S ribosomal RNA (5.8S rRNA) is a component of the large subunit of the eukaryotic ribosome. It is transcribed by RNA polymerase I as part of the 45S precursor that also contains 18S and 28S rRNA. Lineage: Eukaryota; Viridiplantae; Chlorophyta; Picocystophyceae; Picocystales; Picocystaceae. The record is from RNAcentral.